AAUAUACCAAGCGAUAAGCACAGUAAGCUACAAUUCUUAAGAGUAAAUAAGGACAACAUUUACUGUGUGAUAAACUCGUGACGUAGCAAUGUCAAUUUUUUUAGAUAAUUGUUUAUGUCACUCGAACAUGUCAAUAACAUGAUAUAUAGUCAACUUAUCAAGUAAGGUAAGAAAAAGUAAUCUAGAAAACUGAUUCAUUAUUCACAUCUAUGAAUUGAAUUGAAAAAACAUAUUCAAACAGACUUCAUCCCGAUGAAGAUUUGACAAAAAUAUUUCGAGAUUGGUACAUUCAUCUUUUUUUAACUGUUACAUGUAAGACCACAGUUAUAUCGUUUAUCGGGUAAUAAACUCUCAGAGUAACAUAUUUUCUUUUGAUAUUUUAACAUAUUUAACCUCAACAGAUACAACUUUUACAUAUCUAUAUUACACUAAAGGCAAAAUUUCAUAUUUGAAAAUCCCGUGAAAAUGAAAUGAUUGAAAACGCAGUUAUGGAAUAUAAAUGAAUUUCGGGAAAUAUGCUUAGGACAAAAAGUAAAAUCACAAAAAUACUGAACUCAGAUGAACAUCUAAUCGGAAAGUCCAUAAUCACAUGGCAAAAUUAAAUGACAUAACCCAUCAAAAAACGAAUGGACAAGAACUGUCAUAUUCCUGACUUGAUACAGGCAUUUUCAAAUAUACAAAAAUGGUGGAUUAAACCUGGUUUUUGGCGCUAAACCUCUCCCUUUGUUGACAGUCUCAUCAAACUCCGUUAUAGUUACAAUGAUGUGUGAACUAAACAGACAUAAUAAAUAAAAUAGUCGAAGUAUAGGUACAAUAUGCAACGCUAUUAAAGUAAGGAUGUUUACCUUUUUUCAUUAAACAAGGAGGCUCUAAAUUAUCAGAUUAUAUUGAAUAUGGUUAAUAAAUCUUCGACUAUUUGACUCUUUGAGGCGUGUACGACUUUGUAUAUAGAAUACCUAUUAUCUAAUUCUUGUUAACCACGACUAGUGUACAAUUCAUAUUACAUCCAGAGCGUUAUAUUCAUUCUUUUAUUUUCGAAAGGUAAUGUGUUAAAGAGAAAUAAUUGUCAUGCGGUCAUUGUUCUACCUUUUUUCUCCCAGUUUCAUUCAAAUUACCUGAAAGAUUAUCUGUUUGGUCUUUUGAUGUGUUUUGUUUUUUUUUAUUUUUGCCAUGUAGUUGUGGACUUUCCGAUUAGAUUUCCCUCUAAGUUCAGUAUUUUUGUGAUAUUACACACAUUUUACAUAUGUAUAUUUGACGAGUUUUUGUGAUAUUACACGUAUUUUACAUGUGUAUAUUUGGCGAGUUUUUGUAAUAUUACACACAUUUAACAUAUGUAUAUUUGACGAGUUUAAGUAGUGUAUAUUUGACGAGUUCUUGUAAUAUUUCACACAUUUUACAUAUGUAUAUUUGACGAGUUUUUGUAAUAUUUCACACAUUUUACAUAUGUAUAUUUGACGAGUUUUUGUAAUAUUACACACAUUUUACCAACGUACAGUUAUGAUCUGUUUGAACAACAGCUACGCCAUCUGUUGGGUACAUCAUUCGUCCGCGAUGACCAUCUGAUUUCAAACAACCUUUACAUAUCGCCACAGUUACAGAUAUAAUAAUCACUAUGCAGAUCAUGACUCCAA
This 1631-nucleotide long non-coding RNA is filed under the name Mytilus galloprovincialis (Mediterranean mussel). Lineage: Eukaryota; Metazoa; Mollusca; Bivalvia; Mytilida; Mytilidae. The record is from RNAcentral.